Molecule: unclassified non-coding RNA, 231 nt
Filed under: plant metagenome
Description: partial contains small subunit ribosomal RNA, internal transcribed spacer 1, and 5.8S ribosomal RNA
Source: RNAcentral
UCUCCGUUGGUGAACCAGCGGAGGGAUCAUUACAGAGUUGCAAAACUCCCAAACCAUUUUUAACGUUACCUAGCCCGUUGCUUCGGCGGGCGGCCCGGGCCCCGCGCCCCCCGCCCCCCCGCCCCCCGUGGGCCCCCGCCGGACGUAAACCAAACCCUUGCAUUGCAUGGCCUCUCUGCGUCUUCUGUACUGAAUAAGCCAAAACUUUCAACAACGGAUCUCUUGGCUCUC